This 370-nucleotide ribosomal RNA is filed under the name Staphylococcus aureus. RNAcentral describes it as "bacterial SSU rRNA". It matches the Rfam family "Bacterial small subunit ribosomal RNA", at positions 1172 to 1533 of the family's 1533-position model. The record is from RNAcentral. Lineage: Bacteria; Bacillati; Bacillota; Bacilli; Caryophanales; Staphylococcaceae.
GGUGGGGAUGACGUCAAAUCAUCAUGCCCCUUAUGAUUUGGGCUACACACGUGCUACAAUGGACAAUACAAAGGGCAGCGAAACCGCGAGGUCAAGCAAAUCCCAUAAAGUUGUUCUCAGUUCGGAUUGUAGUCUGCAACUCGACUACAUGAAGCUGGAAUCGCUAGUAAUCGUAGAUCAGCAUGCUACGGUGAAUACGUUCCCGGGUCUUGUACACACCGCCCGUCACACCACGAGAGUUUGUAACACCCGAAGCCGGUGGAGUAACCUUUUAGGAGCUAGCCGUCGAAGGUGGGACAAAUGAUUGGGGUGAAGUCGUAACAAGGUAGCCGUAUCGGAAGGUGCGGCUGGAUCACCUCCUUUCUAAGGA